This 699-nucleotide ribosomal RNA is filed under the name uncultured bacterium. Its description in RNAcentral is "bacterial SSU rRNA". It matches the Rfam family "Bacterial small subunit ribosomal RNA", at positions 8 to 698 of the family's 1533-position model. The record is from RNAcentral.
AGAGUUUGAUCCUGGCUCAGAUUGAACGCUGGCGGCAUGCCUAACACAUGCAAGUCGAACGGAAACGAUGGGAGCUUGCUCCCAGGCGUCGAGUGGCGGACGGGUGAGUAAUACUUAGGAAUCUGCCCAUUAGUGGGGGACAACUCGAGGAAACUCGAGCUAAUACCGCAUACGCCCUACGGGGGAAAGCGGGGGAUCUUCGGACCUCGCGCUAAUGGAUGAGCCUAAGUCGGAUUAGCUAGUUGGUGAGGUAAAGGCUCACCAAGGCAACGAUCCGUAGCUGGUCUGAGAGGACGAUCAGCCACACCGGGACUGAGACACGGCCCAGACUCCUACGGGAGGCAGCAGUGGGGAAUAUUGGACAAUGGGCGCAAGCCUGAUCCAGCAAUGCCGCGUGUGUGAAGAAGGCCUGCGGGUUGUAAAGCACUUUCAGUAGAGAAGAAAAGCUUAGGGUUAAUAACCCUGAGUCUUGACGUAACCUACAGAAGAAGCUCCGGCUAACUCCGUGCCAGCAGCCGCGGUAAUACGGAGGGAGCGAGCGUUAAUCGGAAUUACUGGGCGUAAAGCGCGCGUAGGCGGCUUUGUAAGUCGGAUGUGAAAGCCCUGGGCUCAACCUGGGAAUGGCAUUCGAUACUGCAGAGCUAGAGUAUGGUAGAGGGAAGUGGAAUUUCCGGUGUAGCGGUGAAAUGCGUAGAUAUC